UGCGUAGGCGGAUUAAUAAGUCAGUGGUGAAAUCCCUCAGCUUAACUGAGGAACUGCCAUUGAUACUGUUAGUCUUGAGUAUAGUUGAGGUGGGCGGAAUGUGUCAUGUAGCGGUGAAAUGCAUAGAUAUGACACAGAACACCGAUUGCGUAGGCAGCUCACUAAACUAUCUCUGACGCUGAUGCACGAAAGCGUGGGUAGCGAACAGGAUUAGAUACCCUGGUAGUCC
This 229-nucleotide ribosomal RNA is filed under the name uncultured bacterium. Its description in RNAcentral is "partial 16S ribosomal RNA". It matches the Rfam family "Bacterial small subunit ribosomal RNA", at positions 568 to 796 of the family's 1533-position model. The record is from RNAcentral.